GGUUCACUAGCUCAGCUGGAUAGAGCACCUGCCUUCUAAGCAGGCGGUCCCAGGUUCGAAUCCUGGGUGAAUCAC
Molecule: transfer RNA, 75 nt
Filed under: Parvicella tangerina
Lineage: Bacteria; Pseudomonadati; Bacteroidota; Flavobacteriia; Flavobacteriales; Parvicellaceae
Description: Cryomorphaceae bacterium CECT 30217 tRNA-Arg
Rfam family: tRNA
About the family: Transfer RNA (tRNA) molecules are approximately 80 nucleotides in length. Their secondary structure includes four short double-helical elements and three loops (D, anti-codon, and T loops). Further hydrogen bonds mediate the characteristic L-shaped molecular structure. tRNAs have two regions of fundamental functional importance: the anti-codon, which is responsible for specific mRNA codon recognition, and the 3' end, to which the tRNAs corresponding amino acid is attached (by aminoacyl-tRNA synthetases). tRNAs cope with the degeneracy of the genetic code in two manners: having more than one tRNA (with a specific anti-codon) for a particular amino acid; and 'wobble' base-pairing, i.e. permitting non-standard base-pairing at the 3rd anti-codon position.
Source: RNAcentral